UGGCUGAACUCAUCAUUCAUAGCUGCCAGUAUUAUGCAAUACACCAUGGUUCGAUCAUUAAGCCACUGCUAGUAAGUAUCUCAGAUUGUAGUACGAACUUUCAGAGCUGGCUCCUUAGGUGUCGGAUCUAUCAGCAUGUACAAGAUCCAUUUGUGCUCAAGGAUGAUUUUGAGUUUUCGAUACCAACUAUCAAAAUUGGAUCCCAUCAAUUUAUCACAAUCUAAUAGUGAUCGAAGCCAUAAAGUGGUGGCCAUAACUGCAAAAAAAAAAAUCAAAAUCUAAUUAGUAUA
RNAcentral lists this long non-coding RNA (290 nucleotides) under Elaeis guineensis (African oil palm). RNAcentral describes it as "long non-coding RNA (EGUI_LNC060354)". Lineage: Eukaryota; Viridiplantae; Streptophyta; Magnoliopsida; Arecales; Arecaceae. The record is from RNAcentral.